RNAcentral lists this ribosomal RNA (472 nucleotides) under uncultured bacterium. RNAcentral describes it as "bacterial SSU rRNA". It matches the Rfam family "Bacterial small subunit ribosomal RNA", at positions 335 to 799 of the family's 1533-position model. The record is from RNAcentral.
ACUCCUACGGGAGGCAGCAGUAGGGAAUCUUCCGCAAUGGACGAAAGUCUGACGGAGCAACGCCGCGUGAGUGAUGAAGGUUUUCGGAUCGUAAAACUCUGUUGUUAGGGAAGAACAAGUACAAGAGUAACUGCUUGUACCUUGACGGUACCUAACCAGAAAGCCACGGCUAACUACGUGCCAGCAGCCGCGGUAAUACGUAGGUGGCAAGCGUUGUCCGGAAUUAUUGGGCGUAAAGCGCGCGCAGGCGGUCCUUUAAGUCUGAUGUGAAAGCCCACGGCUCAACCGUGGAGGGUCAUUGGAAACUGGGGGACUUGAGUGCAGAAGAGAAGAGUGGAAUUCCACGUGUAGCGGUGAAAUGCGUAGAGAUGUGGAGGAAUACCGGUGGCGAAGGCGGCCCCCUGGACAGAUACUGACACUCAGAUGCGAAAGCGUGGGGAGCAAACAGGAUUAGAUACCCUGGUAGGCGUAG